ACAACUCGGCAGAGGCCUCUGAGAUUGGGAAAACCCGCUGGAUGAGCCUUUUGUUUUAGAUUGAGGUAAUUCGAUCUAAAGGAUGCACCGUGAGGAGGCGGCAUGCCGUGUCAUAUUCAUCUGUUUGCCGAAUGGAGAGUAGUGAGGGAUGUUUCCGAAGCUGUUGUCAGAAGAAAGGGACAAGUCAUGAAGUUUCCUACAAGUACAAGUUACAACAAGGCAAAAAGUGACUACUAUUCAGAAGCAGUUUUUCCAGUACUGCAGAUUUCCAGGAGUUGCUGUUGAUGGGACACAUGUUUACAUCAGGAGCCCUGGUGGGGCAAGAGCCAGGUACUACUUUAAUAGGAAGAACAGGUACUCCAUCGAUGUUCAGGUUGUCUGUGAUUAUGCUGGGAAAAUAACUAGUAUCGUUGCAAGGUGGCCUGGACUGGUAGCAGCCACGAUGCCAGGAUCUUUUCUGAGUGUGCACUGAAUUGAGAGCUUCAUGCUAGGGCAUAUGAAUAACAGUUGAUUCUUGGAGAUAGACUAUAGGGUAUCCAUGCCUUCCCUGCCUCAUCAGAAGCCAUUUCUUCAUUCAGAGGGUCGACCACAGAUGUGCUUUAAAGGCCAUCUGUACUAGUUCAGCCAAAGAGGAUUAGACAACCCAGCGAGGUCACUGACGGGAGGCUAUCUCAU
This 675-nucleotide long non-coding RNA is filed under the name Strongylocentrotus purpuratus (purple sea urchin). RNAcentral's name for it is "uncharacterized LOC115923602". Lineage: Eukaryota; Metazoa; Echinodermata; Echinoidea; Camarodonta; Strongylocentrotidae. The record is from RNAcentral.